UACGUAGGGUGCGAGCGUUGUCCGGAAUUAUUGGGCGUAAAGGGCUCGUAGGCGGUUUGUCGCGUCGGGAGUGAAAACUCAGGGCUUAACCCUGAGCCUGCUUCCGAUACGGGCAGACUAGAGGUAUGCAGGGGAGAACGGAAUUCCUGGUGUAGCGGUGAAAUGCGUAGAUAUCGGGAGGAACACCAGUGGCGAAGGCGGCUACCUGGCCCACUCUUGACGCUGAGGCGCGAAAGCUAGGGGAGCAAACGGG
This 253-nucleotide ribosomal RNA is filed under the name uncultured bacterium. RNAcentral describes it as "partial 16S ribosomal RNA". It matches the Rfam family "Bacterial small subunit ribosomal RNA", at positions 524 to 776 of the family's 1533-position model. The record is from RNAcentral.